Long non-coding RNA from Schistocerca cancellata (South American locust), 372 nucleotides. RefSeq lists it as uncharacterized. NCBI's taxonomy places the organism in Eukaryota, Metazoa, Arthropoda, Insecta, Orthoptera, Acrididae. The transcript has 3 exons. The record is from RefSeq and is a predicted model, not a curated record.
CGUCACGCAGCUUGAAUCCGGCGUUUAAGAAAACCCAACCAGCAGCUUCCCAAGGUCGCACUGUGGCCGUGGACAGGCAUCUGAAGACAGCCAAUGACGGGCGUACCUCAAUGAAAGCCUUCCUGUACACACCAUUGGAUGCGGGGUCUUUGGGUGUGGAUCCUCAGCCGGUAUUAUCUGAAGAUUCGCAGUUCUGCGCAGAGGUAGAGCUGCCAUCGACGCCAGGGUUCCCCACUUUGCCCGGUGCCAAACUGGUCCGAAUUGGAACCACCAUCUGGAUUAAAGAACCUCUAGGACCAGCGCUCAUGAACAUUACCUGAGGCGUCCAGAACGCUUCUGUAAUUUGCGACAGGGGCAGAAACGGAACGAUUG